Oryctolagus cuniculus (rabbit) is the source of this 39976-nucleotide non-coding RNA. Lineage: Eukaryota; Metazoa; Chordata; Mammalia; Lagomorpha; Leporidae. The record is from RefSeq and is a predicted model, not a curated record.
UUUCAGACUGGCCAGCUCACACAAUUGCAUGCUGUCUUUCUCUGGAUCUAUCUGGACCUGUGUCUCUACCUGGUGUUUACUUCCAGGCCUGAAUCUUUGAGCCCUUUGACAGUUCUUCUAGGCAGUUACCCGAUUCUACUCUUGCUCAGUAAGUACCUUGUGCAUGUCUCUGUCAUUCCAUUGUGUUAUUGUAAUUGUUGGCAUGUGUGUCUGUUUCCCCAAACUGAUCUUCGAGUGUCCUGCAAACUAGGACUUGAUCCUCCUAACUUGUGUAGCUCAGGUACCCAGUCUGCCUGCCAGCUAAGAAUUUGUCAGUAUUUGUCUACUGGGUAAAAAAGUUCAGCUCUGACCUGACAUCUUAGGUGUGAUACCAGGGCUGGCACUGUGGCCUAGGGGGUUAAGACACCACCUGCAGUGCUGGCAUCCCAUGUGACGUGGGUUUGAUUCCUGGCUGCUCAGCUUCCAAUCCAGAUCCUGGCUAAUGCACCUGGCAAAGCAGUGGAAGAUGGCCCAAAUAUUUGGGCCCGUACACUCACUUGGGAGACCUGGAAGAAGCUCCUAGCUCCUGUCUAUCUCCUGGCUUUGGUCUGGCCCAGCCGUGGCCAUUGUGGCUGUUUGGGGAGUGAACCAGUGGAUGAAAGAUCCUCUCUCUCUUCUCUCCUUCCCUCUCUGUAACUCUGCCUUUCAAAUAAAACUAACUUAAUAAAUAAAUCUUUAUUGUAAGACCAGGCAAGAAAUUAAAAGGAAAAGCACUAAAAGGGAUGUAAGUGUGGCCAGAAAGUUCCAGGAGAUGGAGGCAAACAUAUCGUCAACAUCGUUUGUACCAUGGCCUUGUACCGAUGGCAGGUGCGAAAUAUAUUGUGCAAUUUAGAACACCUCAGCGAACCAUCAUCUAAUCAGCAUUUGUUUGCUUUUCAGUUUUUCAAAUAUUUAUACAGAGUGACUUCACCAGACAUUAUGACCAGAUAGUCAGAUUUUAAAAUAUUUCUUAAAGACAUUUUGAAGAAAAUAUGGAAGCAUUAAGAAGGAAAAAGAAAUGCUUGUAACUUUAUUACAGUUAACUAAGAACAGGUUUGUACAGAUCUUCCUAGAUUUUUUUUUUAAGAUUUAUUUAUUUAUGUGAAAGGUAGAAUUAUAGGGAGAGAGGAAGAGACAGGGAGAUAAAAGUCUUCCAUCCACUGGUUCAUUCCCCAGGUAGCUGCAAUGGCCAGGGCUGGGCCAGGCUGAAACCAGGAGCCUAAAUUGGAAGUGGAGCAGCUGAGACUGGAACUGGCACCCUUAGGGUCGCCAGCAUUGCAAUCAAUGGCUUAACCCCACUAUACCACAACAUAGGCUCCUCCAUGAACUUCUUGAAGUACCUUGGUACUUGGCGAUUGCUUCCUGAAAAUGAAUUGUUAGAAGUAGAAUUUUUGGGUCACAGAGUACCAUUUUUUUUUUAAACAGGCUUUUGCUAAGUGUUAACUGAGUGCCUCCUGAAAUAUCUUACCAAUAUCUCUCAAUUCCAGUAGUGUCUGAGGUUUAUAAUGUGUUCUGAAAACAGGUAUAGGCAGAUGCUUGACUGAUUAGUUUUUCUUCCAAGGCAGGUUGUUUUUUCUUAAAUUUUGAAUAUUCUGCAUAAGAUCUUGUUCAACUUGUUAAGCCUAGUAGAGUUUCUACCAAGAUAAAUUAGUAGUCACCCCAUGCUUGUUUGAACAAAAUACUCAAGCAUCCAGAAUAUGAGUAGCCAGUCUUGCAGCAUUCGUGAGUGACUCACUUGUUUGUUUGAAAUAGGAGCACAUGGGAGGAGGGAGGUCAACUGACUCUGAAUCUUCUCUAAAGAGACCUUCAUAUGAGGGUAUCCUGUGAGACCAAAGGACCUGACCCUUACCUUGAUCUUGUCGUGUUUAUUGUCAUAAAAUUGCAAACUAUAACACAUCAUGCAACUAUCUGCUAAAAAACUGUAGCUUUCCAAGGACCAGGAUCAUACUCUUGAGUUUAUACCUUAAUAUAUGUUUGAGAAGAAAAAUGUUUUUAAAGAUAUUUUAUCUGAAAGGCAGAGUUCCAGGGCGGGGAGGGAGCGAAAGGAUGAGAGAGAGAGAGACUGACCUUCCAUCUGGUGAUUCACUCUCCAAAUGACCACAAUGUUCAGGGCUGUACCGGGAUGAAGCCAGGACCCUGGAAGUCCAUCAGGGUCUCCCAGGUGGGUGGCAGGGGCAAGGCCAUUUUCUGCCGCCUUCCCAGGCACAUUAUCAGGGAGCUGAAUCAGAAGUGCAACAGCCAGGACUCAAACCUGUACUCAGAUGGGAUGCUGGCAUUGCAGGCAGCAGCUUAACCCCUCUGCCACAACACUGACCCCUAAGACGAAAUGUUAAAAAAAAGUCAUAGCCUAAGUUGAAUUUUUCUCAUAUAUGUUUUAAUUCAACUAUACUUGUCAUGUUAUAUAAUGGUGAUCCAGAACCGUUUUAGAAUGGAAACUAAUCUAUGCAAGCUGUGGUGCUCAUUCCUGUUGUUUUAUCUUGUGUUUUUGUUGUUGAUAAAGGUAAAUUUAUUUAACAUAAAGGAAUAGCUUAUAUUCCAGGAGCUAGGUUUUUAAAAAAUAAGUCUAUUCUGGGUAUAAAUUUAUUUCUCAUUGAAAUUAUUGGAGGCUCUUUUUUUCCAACUGCAUUAAUCCAUUCUCCGUUUAACUCAGGGACAUUAUAAUAUGAGAAAUGGAAUUUAAGUUGUUGCAUGUUCAACUAUUUUUAUUUUGAUGAAAUAUCUUUAAAUAAUUGUUGGAAUUUGGAAAAUCUACCCAUAAUUUAAAGUAGUUCCCAUGGUACCUUUGAAUCAAGGGGUCAUGAGUACCUCUUGCUUCCUAGUGCCUUUGGUCAGAAUUUUCUGUGUUUUAAAGAUUUCCAGGGAAGAGCUCCUUCAUUGCAAGCAUGUUUCUGUGUAAUCAAGUCUGAGAGUCUGAUUCCUUCAGUGCCCUUUUGGAAGCAGCAAGACACACAUUAACCUGAAACUCACUGUGUUCAGAUUCAAUUGCAGAUCACUAGAAAUUUAGACAUUCCAGCACAGUUUAAUUAAGAGAUAGAGGUAGUGUGGGGGGAAAAAAUGACUGAAUGUUUGAAAGACACAGUACGGAUCCUAGGGCCACUGCUGCAGAAGAGAGAUUCCCCCCAGUGUAGCUCCUGCUGCUACUUGAAGUUGGAACCACUCAGUCAAACCACUGGGACUCAGGAUUCUUGGGUUGUGCAGAUCUUUUUAUUGAUGGCAGUGGUUCCCCUGCCCUCCCCAACAGUAAGGGGAGUGUGAGGCCUUGUGGGAAGAAAGGGCUCCACAGGAGUUGUGUGUUUUAGAAAGGGUGUGGUGAGGAGAGCAACACCCCUCUCCUAAUUAGCUUAUUAUGCCAGUUGCCUGACUGAAGAUUAUGUUCAAUUAACGUAAUAGGUGAGAUGUCAUGAAGUGCUUUUCCCACUGGGUCUUUUUCGUAGUUCCUGUGCUCCUCUAUCCCCAGCGAGUCUUCUGCUCGGUUUGGGAGUUUCUCUUGACUCCUGGAUCCAUCACUUGGCAGGAGCCACUGAGUACCACCUCCACUGCCCCUCGGACUUGGAGCUCUGUUUGUUCUCCUUCACAGCUGUGGGGCACAGACGUCCUCAAUGCCUUCAUACUCUGACUAGCAGCAGAGAGGUGUGAUGACGAUGUUCGACCAGUGAGAUGACCUUAACUAUCUCAAGCAUAUUAUGUAUGCGUUUGCCACUUCCUUGUCUUGCCCAGGGUGUGCACAUGUGGAGUGAGUGGGUGGUCCCGCCCAGGUCCAUUUAGCAGGCUGCAGACAUAAGAGGUAUGGAAACACAGGGGUACAAAUGUAAAUCUAAAAGAAACAGUUUCAAAGAUGUUUUCCUUCCUUCUAGCUCCAAGAAAAUUCUUUUGUGAAAUUAAGUAAAAGGAGAAGGAUUUGAAUUGUCUUAUGUGUGCACCCAGCAGUCCUACUGAAGGGUGUGAUUCAGCCUUAGAAAGGAGACCCUGGUAUUUGCAACAAUAUGGAUGAACCUGGGAGACAUUGCACCCCGUGAAGUCUGCCAGGUUGGGAGGACAGCUACCACGUGGGAUCUCCUAUGUGUGGAAUUUUAGGAAGCUGACCCUGUAGAAGGUAGAAUGGUGGUUACCAGGGGCUGGGGGAAGUGUUGGUCGAAGGGUGCCCAGCUUCCCUUAGGCAGGGUAAGUCCUGGGAUCUGAUGAACAGCAAGGUACCUAUAAAGGAGAAUGUAUGCAACUUGUUGAGAGAAGACCUUAGGGGUUUUCACCACCUAGGGCAGCUGUGUGGUGAUGGAUAUGUCAACUAGCCUGAUUUCCCAGUGUAUGACACCCUCCAUAUUUACAAAUUGUAUUUGUCCACUAUAGGGGCAGGAAUUAGAAGGACCUGUACAAUUUCAUUCAUGGACCCUGGUAAAACUCUGUGAUAACUGGUGCCUUCACUUCUAGGGAGUGACAGCAGGGAGGGAAGGCGUUUUGCCAAGAUAGUUUUAUGAUUUCCUCCUCAGCCAUUCUUUCUCAAACCAGGAACAGGGCAGGAGUCUUCCACAAAUCCAUGGAAAAUAUGAUUAUGAAAAAAAUGGCAUGAGUUUCAAGAUUUGAAAGACUUUUGAUUUACUUAUUUGAAGGGUGGGGAGGGGAAAGAGGCAUACAGACAGAGCUCUCCCAUCUGCUGCUUCCCUCCUCAAAUGCCUGCAAAAGCCAGGCCUAUGUCAGGUUGAAGCCAGGAGCUGGGAACUCAGUCAGGGUCUCCUACAUGGGUGGCAGGGAUGCAGGGACUUGAGUCUCCACCUGCUGCCUCUGGGGGUGCACGUUAGUGUGAAGCCAGAAUCAGAAGCAGAGCUUGGACCUAACCAAGGCACUCUGAUGUGCAAUGCAGGUAUCCCAAGUAGAAUCUAAACUACUGUGCCAAGUACUUAUCUGUCAAAAAUGUUUGACACCUAAGUCAACUUCUUUCAAUUCCAUUUUCCAUGAACUUUUUGAAGUACCCUCGUAUGUUCAGGAAAUUUUUUUCAACUAUCUUAAAACCCAUGUUUUAAAACAAUUGUUUUCCCACUGAAAUGGUUUAUAGACUCUUCUGCAUUUUAGUGCAUUUUUCAGAUAGCUCAGGGACGUUCUAGAAACACCGAGCUUUCCCAGAGACAGUGGAUCAGCCCCAGUGUUUAUCUUUCUCUGCUGUUGUUAGCCGUAAAGGUGAAUGCAUCCUCUGAGGGAUGGGCUUUGAAUUUUCUCACAUUUGAUCACCUUUAUUCUUUAAAGAAUGCAGCAUUGUUGUUACUGCUGGGACUCACUCAGGGAGUGUGCACCCCUUCAAAUGCUGGAGCGACAGGCCUCACUGGGUGCAGUGAUUUCUGACGUCUUUACCAAGAGGACUGAUUGCUCCAGUGUUUGUAAUGUCAUCCAAGGCUUCUGAUAAUUUGGUUGUAACACUUUCCUGAAAAUUAGAAAUGGGUUUCUUAAAAAGGAAAAAAACCACAAACUAUAGAAAAGAUACUUAAAAUGUGAAUAAAAACUCAUUAAUUCCAAUUUUAGAAAACCUGAUUUUCCAAGAGACUGUAAUGUGUCUUGAUUUUUCAGGUCCCAGGGGAGAGGCACGUUCCUGUCAAAGAUGUUUAGGCCUGAACACAAGGCCUUCUUAGAGCAAGGCAUUUGUGAGGGUGAUUGCCCAGUUAUGCGUGAUGAAUAUGGUCAGCGUGGAAAUUCAGCUCCAAGAGCAGAAAAGCGUCUCCUGGGAGUUGAAAUAUCUGCGUGUGUGUUUUGUGGGGUGGAGGACAAUGAACAUGUACGAAAGGCAUGGUAUGUCAGGUUCAAAUGAGAGUUGAUUAUUGCGCUGAUAAAUGUAGAAGUCGGUAAUUAAAUCAUGGUAUGUACGGAAAUGUAAGUUUUUUCCUGCUAGUCCUGUUAGGCUAAUUCGUGGCGUUGAGAACCUGCCUCAGAUUUCUUAAUAGAGUUGCCUUAGGUGGCUAAUUAGGAUGAGCUACCGAUGUGAUCAGGAAGCAUUCCACUGCAAGCGAAGUUGCCGAAAGACUAGAAGAAUGGGCGGACGGGCCUCAGGUGGAAUGCCUGCACGAACGGCUAACACUCGUCUCCCGUGGACCUGUGUGUUUCAACACAUUGCACGCACACAGCUCUCAGCUUUUGUGCCAUUUGGGCAUUUUUUUUAAGAUUUAUUUAUUUAUUUGAAAGUUGGAGUUACACAGGAAGAGAAGGAGAGGCAGAGAGAGAGAGAGAGAGAGGUCGUCCAUCUGCUGGUUCACUCUCCAAUUGGCCGCAAUGGCCAGAGCUGUGCCGAUCUGAAGCCAGGAGCCAGGAGCUUCUUCCGGGUCUCCCACGUGGGUGCAGGGGUCUAAGGAUUUGGGCCAUCUUCUACUGCUUUCCUAGGCCACAGCAGAGAGCUGGAUCAGAAGUGGAGCAGCCAGGUCUCGAACCAGCGCCCAUAUGGGAUGCCAGCACUGUAGGCAGUGGCUUUACCUGCUAUGCCAGAGCGCUGGACCCUGGGCAUGGUUUUAUUACCUGGAUCCCAUUUUCCAUCUCCCCACAAUAUUCUAGAUCCUCUUACCGUCUCAGCCACAGGAUUAGUGCUGUGUGGUACUAAGAGAUGAUGUGUCAUAGGAAUGCUUUCAGUGCUGCAGAAAAUCCUUGCAUCGGGGAGGGAGACUUUUCUUCUUCCGUUGUCACAGCAGGUCCAGCUACUCCAUAAUGGCCUUCGGGGCCAGGUCUCUUGGCUUCUCCAGGAUUCUUUCUGGGCAAUGGGCAGUGGACUUCUUCAUCCUGUGGGUUUCUCCUCAGAGUCAAGUUGGAUUCUGUAUCUCCUGGAUUUAUUGGAGGCAGAAACAAGAGGAACUAGGGGAGGGCUUUCUCCUAACAGGGUUUCUCUUGACAGGGAGGUGAACUCUUUCUGGUGACUUCUGCCUGCAUUGUGUUGUGAGAACUGUAUGUGUCCACCACUAGCUAUUAGAGUCUUGUGUUUUUAUCUGAACCCCUGGCUGCCCUGGAAAGUAGCUGGUGUUGUAUUAGAAAGAACAGAAUGAGUUCUGGAUUGGCAGCUCAGAGUGUGCUGCAGAAUGAUAAUAUUAUUAUUCUGCCAAACUUACUUAUCCUGUUGACAGUGCUCAUUUAAAAUGAUAGGACUGCAUGUGCCUGUACUUAAUUUUUUUAAAAAGAUUUAUUUAUUUGAAAGGUACAGUUACAGAGAGAUACAAAGAUACACACAGAGAAGCAGAGAGAAGGAGAGAAUGAAAGAGGAAAGGUCUUCCAUCCACUGGUUCACUCUCCAAAUGGCCGCAAUAGCUGGGGCUGGGCUAGGCUGAACCCAGGAGCCAGGAGUUUCAUCCACAUCUCCCACACGGGUGCAGGGGCCCAGGUCCUCGGGCCAUCUUUGGCUGCUUCCUUAGCAGAAGGACUGGAUUGAAAGUGGAGCAGCAGGGACUGGAACCAAUGCCCAGCAUUGCAGGCAGUGGCCUAACCUGCUGUGCCAGAACACUGGGACCAUUCCUUGUUUAUAGCUCUCUCCUAGGUGCCACCAAAUCUCAGGCUUUUUUUUUUUCCUUAUAUCUCCCUCCCUCCUUCCCUUCCUCCCUUCCUCCCUUCCUCCCUUCCUCCAUCCCUCCCUCCCUUCCUUCCUUCCUUCCUUCUUUUUUUUCCGAUUUAUUUUAUUUUUUUUUUAAAGAGAGCAUUACAGGGAGAGGUAGAGCCCGAGAGAGAGAGAGAGAGAGAGGUCUUCCACCUGCUGGUUCACUCCCCAAAUGACCGCAACAGCCAGAGCUGAGCUGACUUGAAGCCAGGGGCCAGGAGCUUCUUCUGGGUCUCCCAUGCGGGUGCAGGAUCCCAGGCAGUUGGGCCAUCUUUUUAAUUUUUUGACAGGCAGAGUGGACAGUGAGAGAGACAGAGAGAAAGGUCUUCCUUUUCCGUUAGUUCACCCCUCAAUGGCCGCUGCAGCCGGUGUACUGCGGCUGGCACACCACGCUGAUCUGAAGCUAGGAGCCAGGUGCCUCUCCUGGUGUCCCAUGCGGGUGCAGGGCCCAAGCACUUUGGCCAUCCUCCACUGCACUCCCAGGCCACAGCAGAGAACUGGACUGAAAGAGGAGCAACCGGGACAGAAUCCAGCACCCCAACCAGGACUAGAACCCAGUGUGCCGGCGCCACAGGAGGAGGAUUAGCCUAUUGAGCCAUGGCACUGGCCUUGGGCCAUCUUCUACUGCUUUCCCAGGCCAUAGCAGAGAGCUGGACUGGAAUUUAAGCGGCCGGACUUGAACUGACGCCCAUAUGGAAUGCCAGUGCUGUAGGCCAGGGCUUUAACCUGCUGUGCCACAGGGUUGGCCCAAGUGAUUUAUUUCUUUUUAUUUGAAAGUCAGAGUUACAGAGAGAGAGGAAGAGACAAAGAGAGAGAGAUCUUCCAUCUGUUUCUUCACUCCCCAGAUGGCUGCAAUGGCCAGGCUGGGCUAGGCUAAAGCCAGGAGCUAGGAGCUUCUUCCAGGUCUCCCACAUGGGUGCAGGGGUCCAAGCACAUGGGCCAUCCUCCACUGCUUUCCCAGGUGCAUUAUCAGGGAGCUGGAUUGGAAGCGGAGCAGCCAGGACUUGAACUGGUGCCCAUACAGGAUGCUGGCAUUGCAAUCAGCAGCUUUACCUGAUACACCAGAAUGCCAGGCUGCCAAAUCCCAGUUUUCAAAAGGGAUACUGGAGAUUUGUGGGUAUAUUGUGGAUUUUUAUUUAUUUACUUUUAUAGAUUAUCUAUUUAUUUAUUUAAGGAUUUCAUUUAUUUAUUUGAAAGGCAGAGUUACAAAGAGGGAAGGAGAAAGAAAAAGAGAAAUGUUUGUCUGCUGGUUCACUCCCUAGAUGGCUGUAAUAACCUGAGCCAGACUGAAGUCAGGAGCCAGGAACUUCUUCCAGGUCUCCCAUGUGGUUGGCAGGGGCCCAAGCUCCUGGGCCAUCCUCCACCGCCUUCCUAGGUGCUUAGCAGGGAGCUGGAUCAGAAGUUGAGAAGCCAGGACAUAAACUGCCACCCAUACAGAAUACAGCCAAUGGCUUUAUCCAUUACGCCACAGUGCCAGCCCGGGAUUUUUGAAAUACAUGUGUGUGUGUGUAUUUAAAUUGAUGAGAGUACUCUUCUGUCAUGCUGGUUCACUCCCUGGAUGCCUCCAGCUGCUGGGGCUGGGUGGGGGCUGGAGCUGGAGCCAGGAGCCAGGAGCCAGGAGCCAGGAGCCAGGAAUCCAACACAGGUCUCCCACAUGGGUAACAGGAACUCAACUGCUUGAGCCAUCGCUGCUGUGUCACAGGGUCUGCACUGGCCAGAAGCUGGAAACAGGAGCGGAGCUGGCUGGAGCACCCAGGCUCUCCAGUGUGGGUCAUGGGCAUAAUAACUAAAGCAUUCCCUAUAGGAAUUUAUUGUCUCUAAAUAAAAUAUUGUUAACCUAAUAAAAAUUUAAUCACUAAUAGAGAAAGACAUCCUUUUUAAAAAGAUAAAUGAUGUCAGAGCUCAUAGAGCAGAAAUUAUAAAUGUCCCUUUGCACAUCCCUGGACUCAUUACAUGUGUGCAUUCCCCCUCCCCCCCGAGUGGUUGGUUUCUUUUCACAUAAUUGGAAUCACACUCUCUGUUUUGUUCUGCAAGCAGCUGUUUUUUUUUUUCCCUCCCUUGUAACAUCUUUUUUUGAUUCUUUUCUCUUCAGUACACAUAAAAUAGUGGUGUUUUUCAAUGAAGAUAUGUCCAGAUUACCAACAGCAUCCCAUUGAAAAAAAAUGAAAAUACUGGGUCUUUUCAACAUUUCCUUAGAUAAUUAAAAAAUGUGAUUGUGCCAUGACUGCUUCUGCACUGAUGGCUAGUCAGUGUCUCUGAACCUAUCUGUACAUAUGCAAGAGUGUAGUAUCACCUACUAGUAUUGCUGGAUCAAGAAUAUAUGUGUUUAAAAUGUGCUCUCAAAUCACUCUCCAACAGGGCUGCACAAAAUUACAGUCCCAGUAACAGUGCACACAACUUCCCCACACCCCUCUCAACACUUGAUAUUAUCAGUUAAAAUUUUUUUUCAGCCAGCCUAAUGAGAAAAAAUAGUCUUGUUUAAAUUUCCAUUUUCCUGUCCAAAAAGUCCUGUUACAGAGCGCUUUCAAUAUCAAGAUAAAUGACUCAUUGACUUUGGGAGAUAAGCAGUUAGGGUUCAUCUGCUCUGGCUCUCCUGUUGCUGUUUCAUUCAUGUUUCAAAAACAGACUUGUUUAUAAAACAGUACCUUUCUGGGGGUGUCUUUUUCAUCCUGUCUUCAGGAAAUGUCCUUGUAUCCUGAUUGGCAGGGGUCAGUGUUUUGGAGACCUGUGAGUUUGCUCUGGUAUGGAAUGGAGGAGCCAUGUUUUCCAGCUCAUUGCUAUCCAGUGAAUGGGUUGGUGAAAUCAAAUUAGGGAUCAUGCACAGCAUAAUGAAAGAAUGGAAAAAAGGAACAGCGUAGAAAAUGUUGGAGAGUAUCAUAUACGAGUAUAAUAAAGGUAAGAUGUGUUUCAUGAAACUCCUUUCAUAGGAUUUUUGUGUGUGUUUUGAAUGUGCGUGUUUAUAUAUGUGUAUAUAAGCAUUUAUAAUGUGUCUGAGGCUGCAUCGUGAUGUAAAAUACAUCUCUAUGGGUUGAGCAGUGGAGAAUGUUAGCUUUAAAAAUUGAUUACAAGCAUAGUUUAUUUCUGCCCCCAGGCAGCAGUCUCAUACUUGAUUUCAGCAUUCAUACAAAGAAAUCGCCAGUCAUAUCAGUGGCAAGAAAGUUAAAGACUAAGGCUUUUCUGGAAGAGCUUAAGUGCUUAAAGAUAGGUGCCACUGCAUAGGACCUGGAGAUAUGACAGGUGUGGCAAACCAAAUUGGCUCGUGUGCAGAAUGAAAAAAUGAAGAACUGCACCCUGAUGCAUUUCGUUUCACUGAGCAAUUUCAUUUUUCUGUGCUCUGGUGCAUUCACAGCACUUGACUGUCACAGCCAUGUGGGCACUCAGGCAAGAGACAGCAGGGGAAAUCCUUGAAUUUUCACCGAUUCUCCCUGUGAGCAGUCCCGGGUACAACUGAUCAUCCCAGAGUGAGGUUUGCACUCAUGGAAAAUAUUUAGCUCACCUUAGCUCAGUGCUGAUCUUUUGUUGCUUAGAAAAUUACCUGUUGCUGAUUAUAAUAAAUGGUGGUAAUUAAAAUUAAAAAAAAAAGGGAUGGAACAUUCUGCAUGUGGGUGUAUUUAAUUAUCUGGCAGGUGUUCAUAUUUCUAGAGCAUGAAACUUAUGGGUAAACAAUGGCCUUUCUGUUAGAAAUUCUACCCACACUUUUGUGUUUCUUCUCUUUUAUAGUUGGGUAUUUUCCAUUACCUAGAGAGUAAUAGUAUGAUCUAACUAAUUUGUAUGGUAUUGAGGCUUUCCCAAGUGGUUAUGUGUGUGUGUGUGUGUGUGUUUAAGAUUUAUUUAUUUGAAAGGUAGAAUUACAGAGAAGGAGAUAGAGAGAGAGAAAGAGAGAGAGCGAGCUUCCAUUUGCUGCUUCACUCCCCCAAUGGCCACAAUGGCUGAGGCUGGGCCAGGCCGAAGCCAAGAGCCAGGAGCUUCAUCUGGGUCUCCCAUAUGGGUGCAGGGGCCCAAGGACUUGGGCCAUCUUCCACUGCUUUCCCUGCAGCCGGUAUCAUAGGUGGUGGCUUUACUGGCAAACCCACAGUGCCCACCCCAGUUAUAAUUUUGUGUUUGUUUUGCUUCAACCAGUACUAACUUCCUUGCUUGAAAUAUUCAAUAAUUGCAUCUUCAUAAAAAAUGAUAUAAAUGGUGGCCAGCACUGUGGCGUAGCGAGUAAAGCCGCCACCUGCAGUGCAGCAUCCCAUAUGGGUGCCGGUUCGAGUCCUAGCUGCUCCCACUCCCACCCAUGUGGGAGACCCAGAAGAAGCUUUUGGCUCGUGGCUUCAGGUUGGCACAGAUCCUAUCCUUGAGGCCAUCUGGGGAGUGAACCAGCAGGAUAGAACACCUCUCUCUGCCUCUGCCUCUCUGUAACCCUGCCUUUCAAAAAAUAAAUAAUAAAUCUUUUAAAAAAUGAUAUAAAUGAACACAAUUUUAUUUUCUAUAGUUACAAAUUAUGUUAGAAAAAUGGGCUUUAAAGUUCUGUGAUACAACUAUACAUGAAUUUCUUUCAAAUUUUACAAGCAGUUGAUGGUAUUUUUUGGCAAACGUAAACACAAAAUAGUAAGUAUUAUUUUGUUGACCAAACAAGAUAGAAGUGGAGGUUCUUUAUUUUUUAUUUCAAAAAAUGUGUUUAUUUUAUUUGUUUGGAAGACAGAAAAGAGAGGCAGACAAAGGCAGAGAGCUUCUAUCCAGUGGUUCACUCCCAAGUGCCUGCAACAGUCUGGACUGGGCCAGGUUGAAGCUGGGAGCCAGGAACUCAAUUCAAGUCUCCUGUGUGGGUAGCAGGGGCUCAAUUACAUUAGCUGCCACCUACUGCCACCACUGGUGUGUGUCUGCAGGAAGCUGGAAUCAGAAAGCAGAGCCAGCACUCUGAUUUUGGCUUCCCAAGUGGUGUCUUAACCACUGCACCAAAUGCGCGUUUCUGGAAGUUCUUUAAAGACUGUUUAUCACCACAUAAAAUUAUUGAAUAUUAGGGUUAAACCACCACCUGCGAUGCUGGUAUCCCAUAUAGGUGCAAUUUCAGGUCCUGGCUGCUUCACUUUCAAUAUAGCUCCCUGCUAGUGCACCUGGGAAAGCAGAGGAAGAUGGCUCAAGUGCUUGGGUUCCUAUCAUCCUGGCUCCUGAAUUCCACCUGGUCCAGCCCCAGCUGUUGCAGCCAUUUGGGGAGUAAACCAGUGGAUGUAUGAUCCCUCACUCUUUCUGUCUCUCUCUCUAACUCUGCCUUUCAAAUAAAUAAAUCUUUAAAACAAGUUCUGUGUUUUUAAUAUGAAACCAAGAAGGACGAUAUUAAGUAUACUUACUGUGCUACAUUAAAUUUAGGUGAAGCUUUUAAACUCCAAAAUAGUUCAGAUCAUACUGAUACAAAUAUCUAUUUGUAGGAAGGCAUCUUCUGUCCAUCUCAGUGUUUCUUUGGUGGUAUCAAAGUAUCUGAUACCUGUCAUGAUUCCUGAUCUGCAUUUCCUUUCAACUUAAAAGUUUGCUAAUGUAAGAGCUUUGAGUUCUUUGAUGAGGGAGAUACUUCUAUGUCUUUAUUAUACAGGCGAUCCAUCAGAUGAGUACAUAGAUUUGAGAGGUCUUCAAGUGCCUGUAAAAUACGGACUAUGAAAAGCUACAUAUGGAUGUCAAAAAUUUUUGCUCCAAAGUAAAAUAUUUUUUAAAAAGAAAGAUUUAUUUACUUGAAAGACAGAGUUAGAGGGAGGAGCCGGUGCUGUGGCCUAGUGGGUGAAGCUGCCGCCUGCAGGGCUGGCAUCCCAUAUGGAUGCCAAUUCGAGUCCUGGUUGUUCCACUUCCAAUCCAGCUCUCUGCUAUGGCCUGGGAAAGCAGUAGAAGAUGGCCCAAGUCCGUGGGCCCCUUCACCCACGUGGGAGAAUCGGAAGAAGCUACUGGCUCCUGGCUUCUGGCUUCGGAUCGGCGCAUCUGAGGCUGUUGUGGCCAAUUGUGGAGUGAACCAGUGGAUGGAAGACCUCUCUCUCUCUCUCUGCCUUUCCUUUUCUCUCUGUGUAAUUCUGUCAAAUAAAUAAAUCUUAAAAAAAAAAAAAAAGACAGAGUUAGAGGAAGAAAGGGAGGAGAGAGAGAGGGUGAGAGUGUUCCCAUCCACUUGUUGAUGCACUCUCCAAAUGCCUGCAGCACACCAGGAAUCAUGUAAGUCUCCCAUGUGGGUGACAAGCAACCAAAGUACUUGAGCCAUCAGCACUGCCUCUCAGAGUCUUCAAUAGCAAGAAGCUGGAGUCAAGAGCCAGAGCUAGGGCCGGCACUGUGGUGUAACAGGUAAAGCCACCAUCUGCAUCACUGACAUCCCUUAUGGGUGCCGAUUUGUGUCCUGGCUGCUCCACUUGCAAUCCAGCUCUCUGCUAAUGGCCUGGGAAAGCAGUGGAAGAUGGCCUAAGUGCUUGGGUCCCUGUCACGCAUGUGGGAGAAGCUCCUGGCUUCGGCCUGGCCCAGCCCUGGCUGUUGCAGCCAUCUGGGGAGUGAACCAGUGGGUGGGAGAUUUCUCUCUCUUUCCCCCCUGCCUCUUUCUCUGUAACUCUUUCAAAUAAAUAAUAUAAUUUUAAAAAGAACAAAAAGCCAGAGCUGUAUAUUGAAUGCAGAUACUCCCAUGUGGGGUGCAGAUAUCCUAACCAGCAACUUAAGUGCUAGGCCAAAUGCCCACCCCAACUUACCUUUUAAUUCUGUUUUUCCAUGAGCUUUUUAAGUGACCAUGUGUAUUCUCUGGAUCCAUGGUAUCGCCCACUCUGCGCUUUCUCUUCGAAAACAUUUUUUCCAUUCACAUUUUAUCUAAAGAAGUUGCAUCCAGAAAGGGAAGACAAGGUUGGGUUAGGUGAUUUCUGAGUGAGUGUUGAAGUUCCAUUGUCUGCUUCAGCUGUUCUAUUUUGUUCACUUGUGUCAUAACUUAAAAUGACAUAAAUAUUAAUUAAAACACUUGGCUUGAUGAAAGAAGUUCGCAUAUUGCAAGACAGUCUUAUUGAUAGAUGUUUACAAAUGAAAAGCUAAUGUCAUAACAGUUUCUGCUCCAAAAAUCUAUUUUGUUAUUGUUUUUUAUAGGCUCACCCUCUUGGCUUUUUCCUCUAAGAUUUACCCUCCCUAAAUUGUAAUAAGGAAAUUAAAAGGAAAGGGGAUAGUCAGCAUUUAGAUUAAACCGAAGAAAUGCCAAUGGCAGUACUAUAUAUUGAGCUUUUUCCUCUGGUAAGUCAUUUCAUGGUGUUGGUUGGCGUGUUAAGGCUUAACAAGUGAGUUUUAUGGCAUGGUAUCAAAAUAUGAGGCAAUUUAAAACAAUUGGUUACAAAUACACUAAAUUCACUCUAAUCAAGGAAGACCCACACAAAGCCUCCCAGAAAUAAAAUUCCAUGGUACUUUCCAGUGGCUUUACAGAAGGAAAUAAGAAUCUAUGCUAUAUCUAGCUCCAACUUAUGGGAGAUCUGUGGAGUCUCAGGUUUCAGAAUGGCUUCAUUGACUUGAGCUCAUAAAUGGACUGAGUAUGAACUCUGUAUAGACUGAAGAAGUUCCCCCGCCUUUCCCAGUGAGAGACUGGAAGCAGCUGGAAGCGCCCCGGGCUAGAGGUCUGAGAGCCGCUCUGGCUAUAAAGGUUCAGCCACUGCUGCACUAGUCUUUCCGCUGAUUCUGCCCAGGGGUCUGGGGGGUCAGUGAAGUGUCCUGUAGAUACUUGCUUGCAAUGACCUAGGGUACGGCUCUGCUUGCUCAGCUGCUGGAGGAUUAUGGGGUGCAUAAGAAAUAUAAGCCUCUGCAUGCACUUUUAGCAAUAAAUAAGCUAUAGUUAGAAAACUAUAAAGGUCUAGAUUUGUAUACCACCUCUGUGCAGAUGUGCUAGUUUGUUGUUGACUAUAUUCACCUUACCUUUUGGAUUCCCCAUCUGUUUCCCCCACCUAUUAUUUUGCUUUCAAAUAUUUUGAUGAAAUUGUUUUUCAUUCUUGUCUCUUCCAUGUUUCUGAAGGAAAUACAGUGUAAGUCCUGAGGAUGAUCUGUUUUAAUGGGAACACCAAUAAACACCUCCUCCCAGCAUUAAUACCAUUGAGCAGGCCCCUCUUUCUGAGUGUGAGUUGGGUCUGAGUUUUAACUGAUAGAAUCAACAGAACUGAUCCUGUGCAAGUGUUAGGCUCAACCCUUGAGAAGUCCUAGCAGUUACAUUGUAGAAGUCCAGUUACCCAAGUGGAGAGGACCCAUGGAUGGAGAGAUCCUAGGACCAUAUGGGGGCAGAGCCCGAGGCCUGGCCAUCCUGGUAUCUUAGUGGAGAGAAGCAGAAUUGCCCGACUGGGUCUAGCCUACAUUGCAGAAUCAGAAGCAAAUCGUAUUAUUUUUAAGCUAGUAAGUUUUGGGUGGUUUGCUAUGCAGCUAUAGGUCAGACAACACCCCUAUAUUGAAGUUCAUUGAUUAUAUACCUAUUUUUUGUUGUUUUUACAUGCUAGAAAAGUAAGACAUAAAUUUUCACUAAUCAGCUAUUACAGCAGAUUUAUCCACGUAUCAUGUACUGAUAUAGUUACAUCAAAAGGGAAGAAAACAGAUGAAACAGCCAUUGAAGAGACUGUUACAAUGAAGCAUGAACUAUCCCUUCAAGAUCUAUAAAGCAGCAAUGACUUUGAAAAUGUUGGCAAUAAUUUCAAACCACAAAGAUGGAAGAGACAUGUGUAUAAGAACAUUAUCAAUAUUAUUUUUUGAUGGGAAACGUUCUUAAGGUCUUUUUCCUCACAUUUUCAUUUGAUAUUUCAAGCAGAGUGUCUUUGCAGGUUGACUGAUUACAAAUGUUUUCGCCCAGCAUACCAGCUUCUAAAUCUGUCUGGAAGGUGCUUUCUCCAAAAAGUGAAUAAGCAUAGGAAAUAAUUAUUCCUCAAAGUACACAAAACUCCCAAGCCAGCUUUUGUUCUAUAGACAGAUCUGAUUCAUCAAGAAACAUCAAAAUAAUUGUCACGAUUUAAAAUUGUAAAAGAAACCCAGGAGCCUUUUGGCUUCAGUCUAAAACUUGCUGUUGCUUUCUUGGCAGAAGGCCUUGUGUUGAAUAUUUUGUGCUGUACGUUGCUCCAUUUUUGUUUUGUUUUGUUUUUGUAUUUUUGCCCCUGGGACAGGAAACUGCAGAACAAAAUAUAUUCAUUUGGGGAAGCCGUGCUGGUCCUUUUGGGACUCACCAGUUCUGAGUGAUUAGUGCAGAAAGGAGAGCCUGGCACUCGGGUGCUGCGCCCUGGUGGAUGCAAAUGAUGAGCUGAGAUUUCAUUCCUCCAUCACAGAGAGUUUGUCAAACUGGGAAUCACUAUUUUGACACCAGAAGAAUAGCAUUCACAUGAAAGCACCCCACCCCCCAUCUCAUCAUUUAUUUCCUUCAGGCCUCAGUAUGCUGGGUUUUAAUUAAAAUUCUUAAUGGCCUCAGACAUUUUGCAUUUGAAUACACAGUGUUUUCUCCCUUGGGGAUUAAUCUCUGUGACUGUGUGCAAGGAAUUUUAUGUAGAAAACUUUUCUUAGAUUGUAAACUCAAGGAGGGCAGAAUUAGGCUUUAAUUGCUCCUGGCUAUAAACCCAGGUAUCUAGGACAGAGCCUAGCGUUUUUUAAGUCUGCAGUCACACAUUUUUUGAAUUAAUUUUAAUUAUUAAAUUAAAUCAAUUAAAUUAAUUUUGAGUUAAUUAACUUUGUUCCUCCCUUUAACCCCCCCCCCCCCCCGAGAAUUGUUGAUUUUAGGUAAAAUUUCAGCCAUUCCAGUUGGGCAGAUUAUGUUCCUGCCUUUCUUUACUUUUUUUUAAAUAUUUUUUUGAAAAGCAGAGUGACGACAGAGACAAAGAACAAUCUCCCAUCCAUUGGCAGAUGGUGUUAGAACCAUGUUUUUCUGCUUCGUCCCUGAUAUUCAUUGGUUUAUUCUAUUCCAACUCCAUCAAAUAUUGUUAAGAGGUUUAAAUUCAGGUAUCUGCAUAUGCUAGUCUUUUCAAUACAUUAUUUCUCAUUUUCGCAACAGAGCAUUUGGAAUUAGAUAUUAAACAUGUUUAUGUAGCUAAUUUUCAGCCAAUUUCUUAUUAAAAACCUAUAACAAGGAAUUUAUGUCAAAGAUUUAUGUGGUAUGGUAAGAAUGUUAAGAUGUUUCUGGAGUUACUGAAUUGGAAGAUGUUUGGAUAAAAGAGGUGCUUUUGUAUUCCUAUAAUUUUGUGACGAGAAAAUUUCUAGGUUCUUGGGAAAUUGUGCUAAGAUCCUAUGAUAACUGUUUAUAUUGAAAUUUUUCUACUGCUAGAAAGAAUAUAAAGAAAUUUUGAUUUGGCAUUUAUCUUUUUUUCUCAUAUCAUCCUCCAUAUUAUUCAUUAAAAAAUUAGCAAAUAUUUCUGAGGGUUGUUCCAAAACUUUAUGGAAAAUAGAAUUUAAAAUUAAGUUAAUUUUAAGAAAAUUGAAACCCCUGCAUAUGAGGGGUCUUUGAAUAGUUCGUGAAAACACUGUGCAUGAGUUUCAAUUUUUUUUUUUUUUUUAUUCCAUGUCUUGUAUCUCUUAAUUCCAUUUUGUCUUGAGCCUUUUGGAAGUACUCUUGUAUUGAGCACUUAUUUUAUUCCAGGUAUCUCUUAAAUUCCUGGGGUACCUCAGUGGAUAAACUGAUCCCAAUCUCCCUCUCUAGGGAAGUUUUGCAUUCUAGUGUGUAACAACUGGUAUUAUAGGAGGUUACGAGGUGGGAGGAUCUAUGGAAAAAAAUUAAGCAGAGUAAUGCAAUUCAAGGAGACAGAGAGAAUGGGUUAUAAUUUGAAAUAGGCCGAAUGAGCCUCCUAACAGAGGCGACUUUUGAGCAAAGAUGGGCGAGGAGGAAGAAGAUGCUGGGGGUUGGCAGGGGAAGCUUCCUGGCAGAAAGGGGGCCCUGCGUGCAGAGUAGCCAGGGCUGAGCCCGUGGGCUGCAUCCACAGGAGGCUUGGACAGUGUCACGUGGUCCAGACUGCUUCCCACAAGCCUAGCACGUGGGAGCCUUCUUGGAAAUGCUGAUCAUGGCCAGUGCCACAGCUCAAUAGGCUAAUCCUCCGCCUGUGGCGCUGGCACACCGGAUUCUAGUCCCAGUUGGGGCACCGGAUUCUGUCCUGGUUGCCCCUCUUCCAGGCCAGCUCUCUGCUGUGGCCCGGGAGCACAGUGGAGGAUGGCCCAAGUGCUUGGGCCCUGCACCUGCAUGGGAGACCAGGAGAAGCACCUGGCUCCUGGCUUCAGAUUAGUGUGGUGAGCCGGCCGCAGCGACCAUUGUGGGGGUGAACCAACGGCAAAGGAAGACCUUUCUCUCUGUCUCUCUCCCCUCUCUCUCACUGUCCACUCUGCCUGUCAAAAAAAAAAAAAAAAAGUGCUGAUCAUGUUUCACUUUGUCAUCCUAUUAUCAAAUCCUAAAAUAACACCAACAAGAGAAAUUAUUAGAACCACAUAAUGAGAUGGGGCCCUGAAAUAUAUUUCUUUUGUUCUCUAGGGCUGUAAGAAUUUACACAAGUCAUGCACUGCCUCAAUGACAGGUGAACCGUGGUUCUUAAAUUUCUGGUCAGGUCUUAGAGACCUUCUAGAUAUUUAGCAUUCCAGACUAUUGACUUUACUUUCAAGGUUAAAGACCAUUAAAGGCCAGCACCAUGGCUCAAUAGGCUAAUCCUCUGCCUGCGGUGCCGGCACCUUGCGUUGUAGUCCUGGUCGGGGCACUGGAUUCUGUCCUGGUCGCUCCUCUUCCUGUCCAGCUCUCUGCUGUGGCCCAGGAGUGCAGUGGAGGAUGGCCCAAGUGCUUGGGCCCUGCACCCCAUGGGAGACCAGGAGAAGUACCUGGCUCCUGGCUUCAGAUCAGUGUGAUGCACCGGCCGCAGCGGCCAUUGGGGGUGUGAACCAACAAGAAUAAAGGAGCUGGAACAGUGCUAAAAUUCCUAACUUUGUGCCUAUACAUGGCAAGUGCUCCACAAAUAUUCAUUGAUUCUGGAACCAGAAUUUUAAAUCAGAAUAUACAUUUUCAUAUCUGUGUGCCCACAUAGAAAACACAUGUCAGGGAUCAGCAUUGUGGUGCAGUGGGUUAAGUCGUAGUUUGUGACAUCCAUAUCCUAUAUCAGAGUGCUGGUUAGAGUCUUGGCUGCUCCACUUCAGAUCCAGCUCCCUACUAGUGCGCGUGGGAAGACAGUGGAAGAUGAACAGAGUACUUGGGCCCCAAUCACCCCUGUGGGAGACCUGGCUGGAAUUCUCAGGUUCCUGGCUUCAGCCUGGACCAGACCUGGAUCAGACCUGGAUGUUGCAGCCAUUUGAGGAGUGAACCAGUGGAUGGAAGACCUCUCUCUGUCACUCUGCCUUUCAAACAAAUCUUAAAGAAAAAGAAAACAAAAAGUAAACACAUCAAUGUUUUAGACAACAUGUAUUUUAUUUAUUUGACAGGCACCCAUAUGGGAUGCCAACAUUGCAGGCAGUGGCUUAACCCGCUAUACCACAAUGCCAGCCCCUACAUGUUAAUUUUUAAGUUAAUUUUUUAUUAAAAUAAGUUUUUUUAAUCUCUUCUAUUUUGUUUCUUUAUCUUCUGGUUCCUACUCUUUUAAAAUUAAAAUCAGGCUUUGAGAUAAUUUCAGCAUUAAUAGCAGCAAUACUUGUGUCUGUUUGAAAAGGCUGUUUUGUGUGGUUCAUGUCUUUAAGCUUUCAAAAACACACAAAAUUUUCAAUAAACUGCUUGGUAUUUGGGAAGAAUUUGCUUCCUUUUGAAUAUUGUAAUUUAAAUAUAAAUGUUUUGGGGGGAUUCUUUUGAAGUUUUCUUAUUCUACAAUAUCCUUGUCUAAUGGCUCAUAAAAUGAAUUUGAGGAACAAGUUCUGUUUAGAGGAAAGAGAUACAAUUAUUAUACAGCCAACAUUCUUCUCAUGAUAUAGUGUAUUUUGAAGGUACUGGAACUACUUACCUUUUACUGAAAUUAUAAAUCCUUUGAUUUUGUUAAAGUGAUUUCUAAUUAUACCAGAAUUUUAAUGAUCGGGAUGUGCUUAUUUAGGGCAUACCAUAUGAGAAAGGUUAUCUAAGUGCUAAUAUAGUAGUUUUUAAACAUAUGCAAAUGAGUAUGAGUUUGAAUAUUUGCCUGACCAGUUUUAAAUAUUUAAGAUUGUUAAAGAAUUCUAUGACUCAGUUUCCCCAAUUUAAAAAAUAGUGGUUAUGUGUUGUUAUAGUUUCCAAAACUCAUGGGUUGGGGCAGAUUAAACAACUGCCUAGGACUCCCACAUCCUGUUUCAGAGUACCAAGGAUUGAGUUUUGCUUCUGCUUCUUUUUUUUUUUUUUUAAGAUUUAUUUAUUUAUUUGAAAGUCAGAGCUACACAGAGAGAGGAGAGACAGAGAGAGAGAGAGAGAGAGGUCCUCCAUCCACUGGUUCACUCCCCAAUUAACUGCAACAGCCAGAGCUGUGCCAACCUGAAGCCAGGAGCCAGGAGCUUCCUCCGGGUCUCCCACAGGAGCGCAGGGACCCAAGGACUUGGGCCAUCCCCUACUGCUUUCCCAGGCCAUACCAGAGAGCUGGAUCAGAAGUGGAACAGCUGGGACUCGAACCAGCACCCAUAUGGGAUGCUGGCCCUGCAGGCAGCAGCGCCACCCAAUACACCGCAGCGCCGGCCCCUUGCCUCUGCUUCGAAUCCAGCUUCUUGCUAAUGUGCCUGGGAGGCAGUAGAUGAUACCCCAAGUACUUGGGCUCCUGCCAUCCAUGAAGGAGCCCUGGAUGGGCUUCAUGGUUUUAGCCUGGCCCAGCAGGCAUUUGUGGACUGAACCUGUGGAUGGAAGAUCUUUCUGUCUGUCACAACACUUUUCAAAUAAGUAAAUAAAACUUGAAAAUAAAAUAAACACAGCCCAUAGAUUGCACACCGCCAAAGGUGAAGCCUGCUGUGAACUCUGGACUCUGGGGUGGUGAUGCUGUGUGAAUGUGGGUGCAUUGCUUAUGAGAAGUACACCUGUGGUGGAAAGGUUGAUAGGUGAGACUGCAUGCCGAGGGAUAUAUGAAGGGAGUUCAAACAGUUUGUGGAAAAAUGGAAUUAAAUGAUGUUUAUUUUGGUGCCAAAAAGUAUUUUGAAAUCCCUUCAUCUUUUUUUUUUUAAUAACAUACCAUUUUCCAUGAACUUGUUGAAAAACUUGUGUGUGUGUGUGUUGGGAUAUAAGGGAGUUUCUGUCCCCCUCAGAACCUACUCAAAAAAAAAGUCUUUCAAUGCAAAUAGAUCUAAUGAUACCUACACCUGCAGAAAACUGGGGUUGGAGGCCCCGGCCCAGUGCUGGACACAUGGCGGGUCCUCAGUAAAUGGUAGCUAAAAAAAAUCAUCUCCUUUCUUCACUUUUUUGUCUUGAUUCCUUUUCAUCUUUGAGACGUCUUCUACCUGAUCUUUUAAGCUCACCUACCCCUGCCCUAUUCCUCAACCUUUUGAAAAUAAGCACUUAAGUGUUUGAUGAGUACAUUUAUGAAGCAGAUCCAAUAUUUAAAGAAAUCUUAAGAGUAAAGUACUUGGGGGAAUGAUUGCCCUUUAAUUAUAGUGUCUCUCUUUGAACUCUUGAGUUUCCUUUUUAUUAUCUUUCCCCCUCAGCGACCCACAGCCCCUGUCUCCUGGUGCCUGGGGUGACUGUCAUAUAGCCUCCUGUUGGGUCUCCCUGUUAAUCACCAUCUCCCUUUCUCACUCCCCUCCCCUCUUCUAUUCCAGUCUCUGUGUUGCCAGACUGAAUUUUCAAAAACCCUACACUCUACCCCUUUUAUCUUCCUGAAACUGCCAUUGCCUCUCCGUCCCCAUGCUUGAACUCCUUUGCCUGAAUGCCGGGGGUCCUACAGUCAGUGUGGUUUUCUGUGCUUCCUGAAGCAGCCAGUGGAGACGGCCUCUAGCCCUGUAUUCAAGGAGUCUUCUACACGUUCAUGGAAAAUGGGUGUGGUGAUGAGGGUAUGCAUGGAUUUCAGCUCUGUUUUGCACCUAUAUAAAUGUUCUUUUGGUUCCGAUUUCCCACAGACUUUGUAAGGGGCUCUCACCUUUCAGCUGGGUUCCUUACCUGGUGAUUUCUUGGGUGUGCUGUUGCUUCUAUGUAGGUUACUCUUCCUCCUCUUCUCUCUCUCAACUCAAGCCCUUUGUGUGAGAAUGUGUUCACCUUCUACAUCCUUCCCAGGGUCUUUUUUGUUUGUUUGUUUGUUUGUUUUGACUCAGUUCUGUGGGUAUUUUUUUUUCUACUCUCCAUGUAUAAAAUAGUAAAUUAUAGAAUGUACUUAUAAAAUAUUAAGUGCUCAUUUUAGUCUGACAUGGAAGAGAAAUAUAAAUUCUUAGAAUUAGGUAGUUGGCCAGCACCACAGCUCACUAGGCUAAUCCUCUGCCUGCGGUGCUGGCACCUGGGUUUUAGUCCCGGUUGGGGCACCAGAUUCUGUUCCGGUUGCUCCUCUUCCAGUCCAGCUCUCUGCUAUGGCCUGGGGAAGGCAGUGGAGGAUGGCCCAAGUGCUUGGGCCCUGCACCCACAUGGGAGACCAGGAGGAAGCACCUGGCUUCUGUUCGGCACAGCACGCCGGCUGCAGCGCGCCAGCCGUAGUGGCCAUUUAGGGGUGAACCAACGGAAAAGGAAGACCUUUCUCUAUGUCUCUUUUUUUCAGGGUCUAACUCUGCCUGUCCAAAAAAAAAAAAAAAAAAAAAACGGAAUUAGGUACAUUAGGUACUUUAUAGCAGAGUCUAGCCACAGGCUGGCAGCUCAACACACAUUUGAAUGGUUCUCUAAACUCCUAGUUAAAAAAAUUGGUUAGAUUUGGGAGUAUAAUAUAGUGUAGUUUAUAUGGGAAUAUUGAACUAGGUGUCAAUUGGACAGACUAUUUAAAAAACUACAUUUAGAAUUAAUGUAAAACUUGAUAUCUUGUAUGUUUGCAUUCUUCUUAUAGUCUGAAGUUUCUUUGAGAAUGUGGAAUUUGUUACUGCUUCAGAUUUUUAUAGGUUGAUGGGGAAAAGGACAAAUUUUUAAAAGAUAAUAGUUUUUGAACUAGUAUAAGCAGUUUGCCCUUCCUCCCUCCCUCCUUCCCUCCCUCCCUCCCUCUUUUCUUCCCUCCCUCCUUCCUUCCCUCCUUCAUUCUUUCCUCCCUUCUUCCAAUAUUUUAUUUAUUCGGAAGGCAGAGUUACAGAGAGAGAGAGAGAGAUUCCAUUUGCUGGUUCACUCUCUAAAUGGCCACAACAUCUUAGAACUCAAUCUCAGUCUCUCAUGUGGGUGCCAAGGGCCCAAACACUUGGGCCAUCUUCCACUGUUUUCCCAGGUGCAUUAACCAGGAGCUGGGUCAGAAGUGUAGCAGCUGGGACUCCAGCUGUCACUCAGAUGGGAUGCCGGCAUAACGCUAGCCCCCAAAGGAAAUAUUUCUUAAGUGUUUUGCAAGUACUUUGGAUUUCUCCAAUACAAAAGUGAAGAAAGAAAAGAAAAGGUGGGGUGAGGGGAGGGAGGAAGAAAUAGAAAACUGCACGUUGUCAGGUAAUGUGGUUUCUCCUUGUUCAUGUUCAUGACUUUGUCCAGUACCUGGUGCUUGGUAUUUGUCCAAUGAACUUGUUUUUUGCUUUUUAAAAUUACUUUUACUGAGUUAUACUUUACAAAAAAACACCCCAAAGUAUGCAGAUCUUACUAUACAAUUUGACCAGUUUUUAGAAAUGAGUAUUCACAAAUGACCCAGAUCUAAAUUAAGGCAUGGAGUAGCAUGAUCCUCCACGUUUCCCCAAGUUCCCCCGAGCCCUUUCCCGGCAAACAUGCUCCCUCCACCCUGGGAGGCACUGGCUGUUCUGACUUCUGUCAUCACCUGUUGAUUUUGAACUUCGUGUGCUUGGAACCAUUGUGUACAGGCUCACUUAUGUUUGGCUUCUUUCACUCAGGGUAGAAUCUGGGAGAUUCAUCUAUGUUGUUGAUGCGCCAGUGCUAAAUAGAGCUUUACUGUCUGAACACCCCCGAAUUUGCCUUUGCUUUCUCCUGUUGAUGGCCAUUUGGGUUACUUCCAAUUUUAGGUUAUUAUUAAUAAAGUUAUCAUUAACCAUUGUGUACAAACCUUGGGGUAAACAUGAUGUUUUCUUUUUUUGUAAAUACCUACGAGUGGAAUUAUUGGGUCAAAGGAUCAGAAUGUUUUCUUUUUAAUUUAAUCUUUUGUUAUGUGUGAAGUUAUAUCUCAUUAUGGUUUGAACUUUUAUUUCCCUGAUGUUGAGUUCCUUUUCAUCUGCUUACUGCCCAUUUAUAUGUAUCCUUCAGGGAAGCGUCUGUUCAAGCCUUCUGCCCAUUUUUAUGGAGGUGUCUUUUUUAUUGAGUGAUAAGAGUUCCUUAUACAUAAGUCUUUUGUCUGCUGUGUGAUUGGGUGUAUUAAUUCAUAGUGGCUUUUCAUUCUUGGGGAGCCCAGAAGCAGUAACUCAAGGGAGUUGCUGUUUCACACAUUAUUCCUUUAUAGGACUGUAUAAGUGUGGCGAGUUGGGAAGGGCAGAAGAUGGAGGGCAAGCAGCAAGAGAGAAUUUCUAUCAUUGUUCUUCCCUGCUGUCUUCUAAGAAAUAUUUUUUCCUUUCCAAAAGGCUCUCACUCAUGGGUUCCCAGAAGACCCAGAAGACUUUGGUCUGUGUCUUGUUUACAAGAACUAGGUUACUUGUCUAUAUCCACAGUUGCAAGGGAGGCUAAAAAGUCUCUCUCUCUCUCUCUCUCUCUCUCUCUUCUUCUUCUUCUUCUUCCUCUUCCUCUUCCUCUUCCUCUUCCUCUCUCUCUAAGAAAAGUAAAGUCUUUAUGGUUGUAGGUAGAUGGAUGAGAGUGGGGUUAAGAAUGCUUGAGCCUACUGAUAGCCAGACAAGGUCAGAGUGUCUUGGGAGAAAAAACAUACCAGGCUCAGCAUUGCCUGUUCAGGGAACUGGUGUCAUUUUGAGGGGAAAAAUGAAUCUGUUGCCUGAAGGAUCUUUGCGGGUAUCUAUUUGAAUGUGUUGGUAGCCAACAGGCAGAACAUCUGAGCUGGGACUUUGAUUUGGAUGUACCAGUGAGUAGAUGGUGCCUGGAACUUUGGUGAUUGAGAUUGCUCAGUGAUAGUUUAUAAAAUAUGAAGAAGGCAGAAUUCUGGCCCUGGGGAAAACGUGAUAUGCAGAGGAAAUUGAUUUCCCAAAUAGGGAACUACAGUGUCUAUGUAGGAUGGGGACGACCACCAGAAGAGUAGAGAUAGUGUUGAUUUCAGGAAUUUCAGAAAGCAGAGACUGGUGACUGGGGUGCAGAGUCCUACAGAAGCCAUUGCUAAGAUGUCAGUCAUAGCCACUUGAAUUUGGCAGUUAGGAUGAUAUUAUGAAUCUUCUCAGAUAGCUAUUUGGAGUAGAGGGAGUAGAAGCCAAAUUACUGUCCCUUGACCGGAAAUCUGAGGUGGUGAAUGUAGUGAUAAUGGAUGAGAGUACAGAGGUUCCCCUAAUCCAUGAUUUAACUUUCCUUGCUUUCAGUUAGCCACAGUUGACCACAGUCUGAAAACAUUAGACAGAAAAGUUCAGAAAGAAGCAAUUCCUAAGAAUUAAAUUGCAUGUUCUGAGUAGUGUGAUGAGAUCUGACUCCAUCUAAACCCUGGACGUGAAUCAUCCCAUUGUCCAGCAUAUCUGCACCAUGUAUGUCAGCCACCUGCUAGUCACUUGGUAGUCAGCUGAGUUAUCAGAUCUACUGGUGUGGUAUGGCAGUGCUUAUGUUUUAGUAAGCUUUAAGUAGGGCUCUAACGCUGAGUCCCAAUGCCUGUGUCAUUCAACUCCAUCUCAUCGUGCAGGUGUUGAAUCGUUUCACAUCAUCACUAGAAGUAGGUGAAUAGAGUCCAAUAAGAUAUUUUGAGAUAGAGAUCACAUUCACAUAACUUCUUUAUAUUGUUAUAAUUGUUCUAGUGUACUGUUGCUAUUCUCUUACUGUGCCUAAUUUAUGAAUUAAACAUACGUAUCAUAAGUUUGUGCUUAUAGGAAAAAAAGCAUGGCAUAUCUAGCAUUAGGAGCCCUAUUUGUGAUUUCAGUCUCCCCCUGAAGUCUUAGAACACAUCUGACCCAAAUAAGGAGGGACUAUUGUACUUUACUAAGAAGUUUAUCAAUUACUUCAUUAAUUUUUUUCCUAUGUUGGAAAACCAUUGAAAUAGCUAUAGAAACUGAAGAUAGAGGAGAGAGAAAGGAGUUAUCUUUUUUAAUACAGAGUAGGAAGGGGCUCCCGUCUUAACAGACCAGAGGAAUUUAGCAAAGAAUAAGGGACACUUUAUCCUGAAGGGUGGAGGAAAGGACGGGUACAGUAUUUGUGAGGCAAGGUAGUGUUGAGUGGAGGGCAGGUCUGUCUGGAAGCGGAAGAGAGUCUCUUGUCUGCCACUAUUUUCUUUUAGCUGAUAGGGGCUGAGAUCCAUUGGCUUUGAGAUGGGAGAACUGUUCUGUCUUCCUUGGCUCUUUUUAACUCUACUUUUAUCAGGAUACAAUAUUUUGGAAACAUUACUUACCAGUUAGGAAAACAGCACCUGUUGAUGUCAGUAAAGCUGACAGUUUGUUUAUGUUUAGUGCAUUCAGUCUGAUAAUGUGUCAGCCUGUGUGCUCCGAUGGGUUCAAGAUCAAAGGUGACUGAGGUUUGAUCAGCUGGAACAUUUUUGGCGUGGAGAAGGAGAGAGAGCGAGCGAGCCCAAGAGUGUGUGUUUGUGUUUGUGUGUGUGUGUGUGUGUGUGUGUGUGUAGAAAGAGAGAGAGAGUGCACAAUCCCAACUCAACUGCUGGUCAGGUCCUCAAUGUCCACAGUGUUCUGGGAGCUGGGACCUCAAUCCAGGUCUCCCACAUGGAUGGCAGAAACCCAACUACUUGAGCCACAACUGCUGCCUCCCACAGUGUGCACCUGCAGGAAGCUGAAAUCAGGAGCAAGAGCCCAGUAUUAAACCCAGACAGUCUCAUGUGAACCAGCAGCUUAGCCUUUGGGCCAAAUGCCUAGCCCUAAUAAGUGUUUUAACAUGCUUACUACAUGCUAGGCAUUUUGAUAGGUGCUGUGCAAAUAUUAAGAAGUUAAAGAAAAAGUUUGAUGCCUAACUUUGAAAGUCGGGAUGCUAGGUUCUUGUCGCUUACAGCUCUGCCACUCUGUAAUGUAAGGGAACUUCUGGCCUUAAGGUUUCCUCGAGAGCAUCAAGAUGCAGGAGGAUCUGGAAAAAAAGAAUAGAUGCAUGGUAUACACAAUAACAGCAGUGGAGGAAGGUUGCAAAUAUGCGUAGUGCUUCAGCACUUUACAUGGUAACACAGGAAGCUGUAAGAAAGGGUUAUUUGCAGUUACCCCUGAGGGGAUACUCUGUGUAGUCUGAGUCUUACUGAUGAGAAUUUCCAAGUCCCACUAGAAUUCUAUCAGGUAUUUAUGAUGAAAGAGAGCAUUCCAGAUCCAAAACUGAACUCCUUCCAAAAUGUCACUGAGUUUUUAAGGAGAAUAGCUUAAAUAUAAGGAAAGAGUGUUGUCUACAUCAGUGUUUUACUUCAGUUCAUGAGUAAAAGUGGUUAUAUGGGCAUCUUCUAUUUUGUGAUGAAUGAGAUAGAUUUUAAUGCCAAAUUCUCAAGUUUUAAAAUAUAUCUUAUCCUGAGGAUAUUUUAAGGGGAUAUCCAUAAUUUCUCCCAAGAGUAGGUGGAGACAAGAAGUAAUUUGACAGAACUUCCAGAUGGCCAUUGAAAAAUAAAUUGCCUUCGAGUUCUUGAUUAUUAACCCCAUGCUUUUUGUUGUAUCUCCAGAGCAAUCCAGUCAUUCUGCCGUAAGGACGAAUGUGCUGGAGCCCAGAUUUAACUUUCUGAAAACAGAUGGUGCAAAAGAAGAAGAGAAGUCUUUUAGCCUUCUCCUAUGGGCAGAGCCCAAACUUAUUUAUUCCCAUCCAAAGGCAGUUUCUCUCUGUUUUGGCCUGACUUCUGGGAGCCCAGAACUCUUAAAAGAUGUUUUCUUGAAAAUAGUGAACUCUUUUCUUGUGUGUCCCAGGGCACUUGGCUGGGGUUCCCGUAUUCUGGCUGCUUGCACUCAUUAAUAUUCAACUUGAUCCAAAGUGGCCGAGAAGACAGCAAAGGGGCUGGAAGUUGGGGCCAGGAAAGAUCCUUCCAGGCUAAAAGGAAAGAUGCAAAUGUCCCCAGGAAUAGUGUGACCAGGUUUCAUUUUCUCAACUCACUUGAAUACUUAAAGCUUUCUACUGCUUUAAAUAGAAAGUUUUUUUUUUUUCUCUUUUUCUUUUGAUGUAGAUUCAAUUAGGAUUUAGCUGCCCUGACUCCUUGACAGUAAGUAUGCUUUUUUGGUUGCUGAAAGUGAAGUGAUGAAUCAAACUAAGAUAAGCCCUGCAUCUCUCUUAUUUACAGAGAUUGACAAAUGUGAAGUUGUUUUAACAACUGCUGUCAGCAAUGUGGCUGAAAUGAAAUUGAUUAUACAAAUGAAAAGUGUCAUGACUUCCGAAUGAAAUUUUUCCUUUUUAGCACAUUGAACAACAUGUUUAUGUAUUCAUCUGAGGAUAUAAUUAUUUCUUUCCAGGAUGAUUUUGAAAACAAUAAUCAACAUAUGCAGUUUGCAGGGCUUUACGGUGUGCAGUCUUUUAGUAGAAACUUUGAUUUGUUUGCUUUUGGGAGAAUGUGAUUGUAUUCUACUGAAGAAAAUCUGGAGAGUAGCUAACGAGUGUUCAGUGCUUCUCUACCUUUACUACUUUAUGAAGUUUGUUUUUAUCAAAAUCCAUUUCUAAUUACCAUCUGUUUACAUAUUAAGGUUUGAGGCUGCAGAUCCUGUUGGAAGAAAAUCCUGUUCUACAAAUGCUUUCGUCACACUUGUCACCACAAUUAACUCUGUGCAUUAAAAGUAUUUUGGCAGUUGCUUCUCUUUACACUUCAAAAAGUUCAUGGAAAACAUUAUUUAAUUUAAUUAAUUAAUUUAUUUAAGAGGCAGAGUUGCAGACAGAGAAAGAGAAAGAGAGAAAAAAGUCUUCCAUCUGCUGGUUCACUCCCCAAAUGUCCACAGUGGCCAGAGCUGGGCCUAUCUAAAGCCAAGGGCCAGGAGCUUCUGCUGGGUCUUCCAUGCGGGUGCAGAGACCCAGCACUUGGGCCAUCUUCCACUGCUUUCCCAGGCCAUAGCAGAGAGCUUGAUUGGAAGUAGAGCAGCCGGGACUUGAACUGGCACCCAUAUGGUAUGCUGGUGCCGCAGACGGAGGCUUAGCGUACUGUGCCAAGGUGCCGGCCCCCACAGAUAUUUUUAAAUUCCAUUUUCCAUGAACUUUUUAAAAUCCCCUUGUAGUAUUGAUAUAAAAUUACUGAAAGUAAAUACAUUUGGUACUUUCAAGUCAUCAUGGGAUCUGACCUUCAAAGAAACAAUUAGUGCUGGCAAUUUCUUGCUCCUUCUAGGUUUAGUUGUCAUGCAUAGCUUCUUGGCUGGGUUGAUGGAAACAGAUAGCUCCUGCAUGGAGGCUGACUAUUCUGUCACCUCAGCAAGGGAAUAGUCUUACAUGUGCAGUGGUGGGGCUUCUUGAGGUUCUUCGAGUUGGGCACUUUCUUUGAGGUAGCUACCAGGGAGCUCAGCUGUGCUUCCUCAUUGAGGUUCUGCCCGUGUCUCUCCGAGGUUGAUGGCAAUGUUGGAAGUAGUGGCACUGAGUGGUGACAUGGCCAGGAUUUUCUUCUUACUCUUGUCAGGGUUUUGAUAAAAAUACUGAGUUUAUUUAGCAUUCAUUCAUCCCACAAUUUUAUUAAGAGCUGAGUUAUGUGCUGAGGGUAACAAUUUUGUGGAGUUUUUCAUAAUAGUUUCUGCUAACCAGUGUGGCUUUUUAAAUGACUUAUUGUCUUCAUCAGUGGCUACCAUGGGAAGAGAAAUGGAGGAAUUUUUUUUUUUUAAAUCUUUUUCUGUAUUUGAAAGAGAAGGAGGAGAGAGAGUUUCCCCCAUCUGCUGAGUCACUCCCCAGAUACCCACAAUAACCAGGGCGGGGGCAGCUUGGAGCUUGGAGCUGGGAGCUCAGUCUGGGUGGCCGAGAUCCAGCUCCUUGAGCCCCCACCAGUGGCCUCCCAGAAUGUGCAGCAGGAGAAAGCUAGAGUUGGGGGUGCAGCAGGACUCCAGUGCCGGCAGUCCGAUAUAGGAUCUAGGUGUCCCAAGUACUGACUUCACGCUGCACCAAACACCUACUGCAAAUGGAUUGAGUUGAUAAAUUAAUUUUUCUUUUAGUCUAUUUAUACAUCUUGUACAUUUUAAUAUUUUAAUCUAUAUGUCAUAUAAUAUUAAUCAUGGUAAAUGUACCCAUCUUCUCAUUUAACAUUUUUUAUGAUGAAAACAUUGAAAAUCCUAACAGUUUUUGUUAAUAGAGAAAAGCUCAGUACAUUAAUAUCUGUAGUCACCCUACUGUGCAAUAGCAGCCCAGAGCCUCCUACUGGUCCUGUGACUUAGUACCUCUUCACCAGCCUUUCUCCUUCCCACACUUCCUGCUAAAUGAAUUUCUUGUCUGGCAUGCUAUGAUAUAUUCUGAGCACUGAGAAUUCAGAAUUUUUUCUUCCUUGAUGAUUGGUUUAUAUGUGUCUAUGUAUGAAUGAUGCUUUGUCCUAAUGUAAAUUCAACUCUACUAGUAGUUAAACUAGUACCAUAUUAAUAGUCUAAGGUGUUAUAAAAUGGGCUAUAUUGAUCUAGCUUACUGUUAUCACUGCUGUUGAAAAAUGUCUAUCUUGGUGCUGGUGUUAUGGUGCAACAAGUUAAGCCACAGCCUGUGAGCUAGCAUCCAUAUGAGCACCAAUCCAGCUCCCUGCUAAUGUGCCUGGGAGAGCAGCAGAAGAGGGCCCAAGUCCUUGGGCCCCUACUGCCCACUUGGGAGACCCAGAACAAGCUCCAGGCUCCUGGCUUUGGUCUGGCCCUACCUUGGCCAUUGAAGUCAUUUGGGGAGUAAAUUAGCAGGUGGAAGAUCUCUCUCCUUAUCUCUGUUCUCCCUCUCCCCAUAACUCUGCCUUUCCAAUAAACAAAUAAUUCUUAAUCUGUAUAUCUAUAAUUUCUAUAUGCCUCGUAUGGAAACAUCUAGAGGAAGCAAACAGGCAGAGGAGGUUUUGUAUUCCAUCCCUACCUACUGUUCAUCUACAAGGGAGAAUAGAGUCAUGAAUAUUCUAUGUAGUAAUACUGUUGGGCUAUUUGAAAUACUUUUUAUAUAUUAACUUUAUCACUAAAAUACAGGCCCAAAGAGAUAAUUUUCUUAAUUAUGGUAAUCUCUAGAAAUGGACAAAUUGCACUUGGGAUAGCUUGAGAACUGCAUGUGUAGAUGUAGAAUUUUAGUCCUAUUCCUCUUUGGAGCAGGUUUGACAUUAGCUUGGCCUUUUUGCAGAGAGUGAUGUUACAUAGAAAGAUGGUUUCUCAUCAACAUCUCAUUAAUCCUCAUACUUGCAUUGCCCUUGGGGGAAAAAAUGACAAGGUUCCAAGUUUCUCUGUGCGGAAAGUAGGAAGUAAGCCUGACAUGGUUGUGCGUAUUUUAUGUGCAGCAGAAUUUUAUUCUUUCAGUAAGAUUGUGUAUGUGAUAUACAAUUAUGUUUUUGUUCAGCUUCAAUUGAUUAUUGGCAGUGAUUGUUACGAUCAAAAAAUGUUUCUCUGGUUAUGUAAAUAAUUUUUUGCUAAUGCUGAAAGUUUGGAAGGGACAGGAUCUUACCACAUGGCAUUGAGCCCUCAGUUCCUGAUGGAUCCAAAGGGUGUUUUUAAUUUUUAGUACUUAAAGCCUGGCCUUCAGAGAGAAAAGUCAGGUGUGUGUGAUGAGUUCUCAAGAUUUAUGGACUAUGCAAUCAGCCCAUCUCCCGGUGUCAACUGGGAGAAAAUGACUGGCUAUUUUAAGAUUGUGCCUUUGAAAAGCAGAGAGUCCUACGUUCACACCCAACUGAAAGAGUGGGUUCCCGAAGGGAAGUGAAAGUUUUAAGAAUUCAGUGGACGGAUGAGGAAGGGCCGAAUGGUUAUUUCCAGAUGUUCCUCCCCCAGAUCAGCAUUGAUUUGUUGGCUAGGAAGUCAGAUGGGAUUAUUUGGCCACCUGAGUGCCAAGGAUCAUUUGAGCAAUUAAAACCAGACUGUCCAGAGACAGCCCCCUGCCUGGUGUGGAUUCUGACAACGGAUUGCUCUACCCCUGGGCCAAUGCUGAAGGCAGGAGAGGAGCCCUCCUCAGCAGUACUUCUCCACUGAGAAAAGCCUUGGUUCAGCAGAUGUUUCUGAGUUGACCCUGUGUUCUUCACAGCACGGCCUUGUUAACUCUCCCAGAACGUAACAGGGACAGAAAGGGACUCCUGUUCCCGGGGAGUUUACUGUCCGUCACAGACAUCGUGGGGCGUGGUGGAAAGUUCUAGAGGGAAGUGUGGGGAGGACCUGAGCUCUGGAGAAGAAGUGUCCAGCCAGCCUCAGAUGCAGAAAUUUAUCCGUUCACUCAGUUGGCUCUUUACUGCAUGCCUCCCUGGAAAAAGUUCAGGAAAAACCUCUACGUUCAAGUGGUAAAGAGAGGGUACAGGGGUUUCAGAAAUCUGGUUCUGAUGAGUCUUCUGCCAAGGACCUGCUGUGGUGUUUGCAAACAUCCCUUCUGCUGCCAUUCUCGGGAAAUAGGAACUUCCUCCAUUCCUUCAUUUGCAUGGGGAAGACAUGUUAGACAGGAUUCAGCUUUACUUACUCCAGGUGGGAGAAAUGUGAGAAGGAGGGCAUUCCUGAGCAGGCAGAGGCAGAGUGACUCGAGUGUCACUCAGCGCAGGGUUUCUGAGUGACAUUAAUUGGGAAAAAUGGGACACCCAUUGUCCUGCCGUGACACCGCAUGCUUUCCCUGUGUAGUGUAAUUCCAUCCGCUCUGGACAGGUACAACCCUCAGCUCUCGAGUGCCAGGCAGAGUCCCAGACUCAGCAGGGCUCUUCAAAGAGUUUAUGGAAAUGGUAUUUUGUGAAAAAACUAUGCGUGGAUUUCAAAAAAAAAUUUUUUUACAGCCAAUGUAAACUUGAUCCUUUUAAAAAAGCUUAUUUAUCAGGGCAGCUUUGUGGUGCAGUGGAUUAAGCUGCCGCCUGUGACACUGGCAUCCUAGCCAGAGUCCUGACUACUGUUUCCAAUCCAGCUCCCUGCCAACGUAUGAGGGAAGGCGGUGGAGGAUGGCCCAGGUGCUCGGGUUCCUGCCACGCAUGUGGGAAACCUGGAUGAAGCUCCUGAUUUCUGCCUUUGGCCUGACCCAGCCCUGGCUAAUUGAGGCCAUUUGGGGAGUGAACCAGUGGAUGGAAGAUCUUUCUCUCCUGCUCCCUCCCUUCCCUCCUCCCCCAUCACUCUACCUUUCAAAUAAAUACAUCUUUUUUUUUUUUAAUUAUUUUAUUUAUUUAUUUGAGAGGUAGAGUUAAAGAGAGAGGGAGAGAUGGAGAGAAAUGUCUUCCAUCUGCUUGCUGGUUCACUCCCCAAAUGGCCACAAUGGCUUGAGCUGGAUUGAUCUAAAUCCAGGAGCCAGGAGCUUCUUUUGGGUCUGCUACAUGGGUGCAGGGGCCCAAGCAUUUGGGCCAUCCUCCACUGCUUUCCCAGGCCAUAGCAGAGAGCUGGAUUAGAAGAGGAACAGCUGGGAUAUGAACCAGUGUCCGUAUGGGAUGCCUGCACUGCAGGCAGAGGCUUAGCCCACUAUGCCACGUCGCCAGCCCCAAUAAAUCUUUUAAGAAAAGUUUAUUUACUUGAAAGUUACACUGACAGAGAGAUCAUCCCUCAUGGAGACUCGUGCUAAUAACAAUGUAUUGCAUACUCGAAAAUCACCAAGAAAGUACAUUUUAAAUGUUUUCACUACAAAAAAAGAAGUGAGGUAAUGGAUAUAUAAUGGAUAUGUUAAUUGGAUAUGUAGUGGAUAUGUUAAUGAGGUUGCCAUAUUCAAACCAUAUUGCAUACGUGUGUCAGCACAACAUGCUCGCACCAUCCACAUUCACACACAAUUUUUAUUUGUCAUUUACAUAAGUGAAUAAACAGAAAGCCAGGCAGGUACUGUCAAGGCUGCCAACUGAGCAGCCAUGCGCCACACCACAGCGCGGCUGCCGCUCAUCUCCAGCCACUCCCCUGCCUCCCGUGGCAGGCCUCUCGGUUUCUGAGCGUCUUGCCUAGCUGACCCCUCUUCACCACACCAAUUCAGCCUUUCAUUUUCUUUUUCUCUGCUCCCCAUGACACCAGGGCCCCUUCGCUGGCCUUUGGUCUGCCUUCUCAGGUGCACCUGCUGAAUGGCAUGCUGUUUUGUAAACGCCCAGUGCACACCUGUUGGAGGUUCUUGGCAGCAGCCUCUCAUCUCUCACUGCUCUUUUCCCCAGGAAGCACCCUGGACGCAGCUGGCUGCCUCAGUGCCCUGUGGGGUGCUUGUGCGCCUCACCCCCCUGACCUCUCCUUUUCCUUCUUCCUUCAACUCCUCUGUCCCGCUGCCUUCUCUGUCUGUUCUUGCUCUCCUGCCUGUCCUGUCCACCACACCCACCAUAGCCACCCACAGGCGAGCUCCUCGUGCGCUGUGUCGUGAACCCUACGACCCCUUGGGAGCACACACGAUUUUGGUUUAUCUCCGAUAGCUGGGCUGCUGCCAAGUGCAGGAUCUUGUCAUGAUGAGGCAUAAUUGUAGUUGUUUAUCAACUUGAAUGGGUUACACUGACUAGGAAAUUUCACUUGCUUUUGUGGGGUUAUGAAAAGACAGCUAAGUCUUUGGCUUUUUUCCUCUGGAGCUCAGGUACAUGUCACAUUUCUCGGUUUGUGGUAAAUUCCUGUCAUUUGUCAUAGCUGUCUCCCUUUUGUAUAUUUAAUAAUAAGUGCAUACUUGUGAGACUCCCACCCUGUGUGAGAACCUUGAACAUCUUAUUGAUCCUUAACUACAUGUUCAUACUUCACUCCUACCUGCUUCCUGCCUCCCUGCCCAUCCUUGGCUAAUUCUUCUUCUUCUUCCUUUUUUUUUAAAGAUGUAUUUAUUUGAAAGGCAAGGUCACAGAGGUGGGGGUUGGGGUGUCUUCCAUCUGCUGGCCACAAAUGGCUGGUGUUGGGCUGAUCCAAAUCCAGGAGCCUAGAGCUUCUUCCAGGUCUCCAGUGUGGGUACAAGAGCCCAAGGACUUGGGCCAUCCUAUGCUGUUUUGCCAGGCCAAAGCAGAGAGCUAGAUGGGAUGCCUGUGUGGCAGGUGGCAGCUGUACCCGCUAUGCCAUAACACUGGCCCUGUGAUUAGUAUUUGUAGGGAGAUACCUGCUUCGCCAUGUUACUGCUUACUUCUGAUACCACUCGUGUUUAGAAUGAUGUACCUUUACAGCCUUCCUGCCGGCUACGGUAGCUUUCCCUUAUUCAUGCAGGAUGUGUUCUAAUACCCCCAGUGGGUGCCUGAAACUGUGGUAGUACCGACUCUCUCUGUAUGUGCACAGUGUUUUUUUCUGUGCAUGCAUUCCUAUGAUAAAGUUUAGUUUAUAAAGCAGGCACCUAAGAGAUAAUAACAAUAAUAAAACAGCAAUCAUGCUAAUAUACUGUAAGUUAUGUGAACCUGUUUUUUUUCUGUCUCUCAAAACGUCUCCUGAGUCCUGUAGCUGUUGGCAGCCUCGCCGUAUGAUUUUUGUUUGCUUAUAAAGUGGGAGAACUUUCACCUGGUACUUUAAGGAAGCACUUUGUGACUUCUCUUUGGCACAUCUGAAUUGGCAGCAUCAUUGCUCCGAUGCUCUUGGACCAUUAUUCGGUCCAGAGCUCCUUGAGCGCAGGGAGUCAGCUUGGUCCCACAGGGCUCGGCAGUGACUGACGGGUGUAUGGUGCCGACAGCAUGGAUGCUAUGGACAGGGGAACGGUUCAUGUCCAAGGCAGAGGGCAGGGGUGCAGGGCAAGAUUUCAUCACCCUAUUCAGAAUAACCCACAAUUUAAAAGUUAUUUUAUUUCUGGAAUCUUCCAUUUAAGAGUCUCAGACCUUUGUUGACUAUAACUGAAACCACAGGAGUGAAACCUUGGAUAACAAAGGACUAUUGCACAGCUCUAUGCUGCAGAAUCUGAUGUUAAUAUAAGAAAUCAAGGUGGUUUUUCUUUUUGUAAAUGUCUGAUUGUAUAUGUGUGUGUGUGUGCGUGUGCACGCGCGUGCUUAAGAUUGAUUUAUUUGAAAAGCAGAGCUGCAGAGAGAGAGACUUAGGGAGAGACAGGGAAAGAGAUCUAUCCACUGGUUCACUCCCCAAAUAGCAGCAAUGGCCAAAGCUGGGCCAAUUCCAAGCCAGGAGCCUGGGGCUUCGUUUGGGUCUUCCAUGUGAGUGCAGGGGUCUAGUCACUUAGGCCAUCUUCCUCUGCUGUCCCAGUGCAUUAGCAGGGAGCUGGAUCAGAAGUGGAACAGCUGGGACUUGAACAAGUGCCACUGCAGGCAGUGACUUUACCCCUAGGGCACAGCACCGGUUCCCCCCACUCCCGGGUUGUCUGUCUGUUGGUCUUUCUUAUUUAUUUCUUUGAAAGGAGAAGUUACAGAGGCAGGGGGUUGGGGGAAUCUUCCAUUUGCUGGUUCACUCCCAAAUGAUCACAACUGCCAGAGCUGUGCCCAUCUGAAGCCAGGAGCCAGGAGCUUCUUCUGGGUCUCCCACACAGGUGCAGAGGCCCAAGGACUUGGGCCGUCUUCUACUGUUUUCUCAGGCCAUAGCAGAGAGCUGGAUCAGAAGUGAAGCAGCUGGGACUUGAACUAGUGCCCAUAUGGGAUGCCGGCACUACAGGCGGCAGUUUUACCUGCUAAGCCACAGCACUGCCCCCUCAUUGUGUUUCAAAGUCUGUUCAGAAUGAAGUAUGUCUCAGAAUUUUCUUUGCCAAUAUUUUUUCUUAAGUAACAUUUCAGCUUUAUCUGUAUUUUAAAAUUUGCUUAUGAUAGAGUAAACAUAUUUGACAAAUUAAAUUUAGAAUGGGUUUUGAUAAAAAGUAUAAUUAUAUAAUGCUGAAACUAUUUGAAAUAAGAAGUAUAAAAAUCAUAAUGUGUGGUCACUUUAAAUAAAGAGAUGAUUUGUUAUUUAAAAGAUUGUCAGAUUUUACCAGUUCAUUCCCUUGAAGCUUUUAUUUUUUUAUUUUUUUAUUUUUUGACAGGCAGAGUGGACAGUGAGAGAGAGAGAGACAGAAAGAAAGGUCUUCCUGUGCCAUUGGUUCACCCUCCAAUGGCUGCCACAGCUGGUGCGCUGUGGCCGGCGCACCGCGCUGAUCCGAAAGCAGGAGCCAGGUGCUUCUCCUGGUCUCCCAUGGGGUGCAGGGCCCAAGUACUUGGGCCAUCCUCCACUGCACUCCCUGGCCACAGCAGAGAGCUGGCCUGGAAGAGGGGCAACUGGGACAGAAUCCGGCACCCCUACCGGGACUAGAACCCGGUGUGCCGGUGCCGCUAGGUGGAGGAUUAGCCUGUUGAGCCAUGGCGCCGGCUUAAAAGUAUCUUUUAACCCUGCACAUAAAUUGUUUAUUUUAUUAAUUUAUUAAUUGGAGAAGCACAGAGAUAGAGGCAAAGGGGGAUCACUCCCCAAAUGCCCACAAUGGCUGGGACUGGCUGGUCCAAAGCUGUGAGCCAACAAUUCAAUCCAGCUUUCCCACAUGGGUGGCAGGUACUCCAUUCCAUGAGCCAUCAUUGCUGCUGCCCAGGGUCUGCAUUAGCAGGAAGCUGGAGUCCGGAGCUGGAGCCAGGUACCAAACCCAGGUGCUCCAAUAUGAGACACAUGUGUCCUAAUGAUGUCCUCAUCUCUAGGCCAGAUGCCCUCCCCAGUUGUUCAUUUUUAGGAAUCAUCUUAGUACAGGGUUGACUCCUAGCUACACUCCUGGUUUUAACUUCCUGCUAGUGUGUACCCUGGAGGCAGUAUGUGGUGGCUGACAUAGUUGGCUCCCUGCUACCCAUAUGGGAGACCUGGAUUGAGUUCUAGGGUCCUGACUUCAACUUGGACCCCAGCUUUUGUGGGCAUUUGUGGAGUUACUCAGUAGAAGUGUGAUCUCUGUCUAUCUUGUUCUCUCUGUCUCUUUGCCUUUCAAAAUAAAGUAAAUAAAGUAGAAGAAUAAUCUACUCUUUUUGUCAACUUCAUUGCAUUUUCCCUAUUAUGUUUAUUUUUAAUUUUAAUUUUCUUUUUCUAGGUUUUUUUUUGGGGGGGUUGCUACUUUGUCCCAUUUUAAGUUCUUUAUCAAGAGGCUUGGUUCAUUAUGCUUUUGUUUUUUAGCUUUAGUUUUGUUAUCAGUCUAAUUGCUCAGUCUUAGAGCAAGUCUAAGUACCAUUGGCAGCUUUUUAUGUGUUUUGCUGUGUUAUCUAUUAAAAUACUAUAUUACAAGUUUCUUGCUGGGUUUGGACUCUAAGAUAUUUUGUUCUUUAUUUUUUAUAUAUUUGAAUGUUAUUCAGAAUUGUUUUUUUCUCUAAUUUGUCAUACUAACAGCUGACAUAGGUCACAUUUUUCACUUAGUACGUGAUCCAUUUUUGUAGAUGAUUCCAUUAGGAUUGAAAAAUCAUUCCUUUAUCUCUCCUGACAGGUUAUUCAAGGCCAAUUUUAUUGUGUACUUGAGCUAUUAUUACAGCAAGGGACUUUCAAAUCUUAAGUUACUCUCCGAGGUUUCUCUCUUCUAUGUCAGCCCUACCCUCUCACUUUUGUUAACAUUGCUGCCAAGAUUUCAUUUAUACACAUCUUUAUUUGCUCUAGAUCAGAAUUUAGGUUUCCCUUAUUUUUUAUUAAAUUUUUAAAAAAGAUUUAUUUAUUUGAAAGAGUUGCAGAGAGAGAGAGAGAGAGAGAGAGAGAGAGAGAAUCUCCCAUCCACUAGUUCACUCCCCAAGUGGCUGCAACAGCUAGGGCUGGGCGAGGCCAAAGUCAGGAGCCAGGAGCUUCAUCAAGGUCUCUCACAUGAAUGCAAGGGCCCACAUCUUGGGCCAUCUUCUGGGCUUUCUGAAGCACAUUGUCAGGGAACUGGAUUAGAAGUAGAGUAGCGGGAGUCAACUGGUGUCCCUGUGGUAUGCCAGUGUCACAGAUGGCUUCACCCAUUGCUCUACUCUGGUCUCCAUACAAACUGAGUACAUAUGGGACUAUAUUUAAUUUGCAUGGUUUUUUGGUUAGGUAAUCAAGAAAUUCAGUAGUACUUUUCACAAACAGUAAGUUUAUUCUAUUUGCAUUUUUCUUUUUUUCCUCCCCAUAGGAAAUUUUUUUAAGAUUUAUUUAUUUAUUUACUGAUUCCCAUGGGCCAUCAACAGGGAGCUUGAUUGGAAAUGGAACAGCCACAGGCCGGCGCCGUGGCUCAAUAGGCUAAUCCUCCACCUAGCGGCGCCGGCACACCGGGUUCUAGUCCCGGUCGGGGCGCCGGAUUCUGUCCCGGUUGCCCCUCUUCCAGGCCAGCCCUCUGCUGUGGCCAGGGAGUGCAGUGGAGGAUGGCCCAAGUGCUUGGGCCCUGCACCCCAUGGGAGACCAGGAGAAGCACCUGGCUCCUGCCAUCGGAUCAGCGCAGCGCGCCGGCCGCGGCGGCCAUUGGAGGGUGAACCAACGGCAAAGGAAGACCUUUCUCUCUGUCUCUCUCUCUCACUGUCCACUCUGCCUGUAAAAAAAAAAAAAAAAAAAAAAAAAAAAACGGAAAUGGAA